Non-coding RNA from Paramisgurnus dabryanus, 568 nucleotides. The record is from the annotation of a RefSeq genome assembly. Lineage: Eukaryota; Metazoa; Chordata; Actinopteri; Cypriniformes; Cobitidae.
AGAACAGAACAGAAUCUUCAUCAUCACACAAACCAAAAGAACAACAAUGACUUUCAUCAUCAUCUUCAUCUGGACACUCACAGUCUUUACUCAAGUGUGUAGAGGACAGUACACUCUUACUCAGAGUCCAUCAAUAACAGCAGUUCAACCAGGACAACAAGUUAAAAUAAACUGUCAAGUUAGCAGUGCAGUGUAUAAUGGUAAUUACUUACACUGGUACUUACAGAAACCUGGAGAAGCUCCUAAACUCCUCAUAUAUGUUGCAACAACCCUCUACACAGGAACUCCAUCAAGAUUUAGUGGCAGCGGAUCAAACACAGAUUUCACUUUGACCAUCAGUGGAGUUCAGACUGAAGAUUCAGGAGAUUAUUACUGUCAGAGUUAUCACAGUAGCUAUGUGUACACACAGUGAUAAAGAGUGAUACAAAAACCUCUGUCAGUCAGACUGCACAGUGACUGCAUUCAUACACCUGACAGAUACUGCAGAUGAUGAUGCUGAUAGUUUAUUUCACUUUCAGAUUAUUCAUUUGUACUAUAGUAUUUAAAUAACAACAUUAUAGAUAAUUAU